GGUGACCUCGGAUCAGGUAGGAAUACCCGCUGAACUUAA
RNAcentral lists this ribosomal RNA (39 nucleotides) under Coniochaeta rosae. RNAcentral's name for it is "partial 28S ribosomal RNA". The record is from RNAcentral. Lineage: Eukaryota; Fungi; Ascomycota; Sordariomycetes; Coniochaetales; Coniochaetaceae.